UGGGGAAUAUUGGACAAUGGGCGAAAGCCUGAUCCAGCCAUGCCGCGUGUGUGAAGAGGGCCUUUUGGUUGUAAAGCACUUUAAGUGGGGAGGAAAAGCUUAUGGUUAAUACCCAUAAGCCCUGACGUUACCCACAGAAUAAGCACCGGCUAACUCUGUGCCAGCAGCCGCGGUAAUACAGAGGGUGCAAGCGUUAAUCGGAAUUACUGGGCGUAAAGCGCGCGUAGGUGGUUAUUUAAGUCAGAUGUGAAAGCCCCGGGCUUAACCUGGGAACUGCAUCUGAUACUGGAUAACUAGAGUAGGUGAGAGGGGAGUAGAAUUCCAGGUGUAGCGGUGAAAUGCGUAGAGAUCUGGAGGAAUACCGAUGGCGAAGGCAGCUCCCUGGCAUCAUACUGACACUGAGGUGCGAAAGCGUGGGUAGCAAACAGGAUUAGAUACCCUGGUAGUCCAUGCCGUAAACGAUGUCUACCAGUCGUUGGGUCUUUUAAAGACUUAGUGACGCAGUUAACGCAAUAAGUAGACCGCCUGGGGAGUACGGCCGCAAGGUUA
Molecule: ribosomal RNA, 549 nt
Filed under: uncultured bacterium
Lineage: Bacteria
Description: bacterial SSU rRNA
Rfam family: Bacterial small subunit ribosomal RNA
Source: RNAcentral